RNAcentral lists this long non-coding RNA (912 nucleotides) under Pan troglodytes (chimpanzee). RNAcentral's name for it is "long non-coding RNA NONPTRT016817". The record is from RNAcentral. Lineage: Eukaryota; Metazoa; Chordata; Mammalia; Primates; Hominidae.
UAUAAGAAAUGUAAGAAAAGGAGGAAAAAAACUGAUUAAAAAUCUUCUUAACAGUUUAUGAGAAUUCCAGAUUUUACUCACAAGCAACAUCAUGUAAUAUUUCUUGUAUUUUGGAAUACUUUACGCAUGUUAUAUUUUUAUUUAAAUGUUAAUAAAACUUGAGACUCCUUACUGAUGACUGAUUAUUCAUGAGGAGAAACUUUAGUUUACAGAAUAUUCAAACAUUUUGUGUCUUUCCUCCCUCCCAUAGUAUUUACUUUAUUACCAAUUUGGAUCUCCUUUCAGAUGGUUUGUCAGAUCAAAAAUAAAAGAGAAAUUGAAAUUCUAUUUCAAAACAUUUUCCUUGUGUAAGAAAUAAAAUAUUUUAGGAUAUCAACCCAACUGUUAAAACAAAGAAUUUUAUAUUCAUUAUAAUUUUAACUUAAGGAUACAAUAAGAAGUUCUUUCUUUAAUAUUAUCUUAGCAAAGACCACCACAAUGGCCUAAAUUGUAGUAAUGGCUUAAUUGGUGGUAUCCUUAAAUCUUCUUGCUUAAAAAAUGUGCUUGAUCAAAGGUUGUCAUUUCUUAUCUGUAUUUUAAGUGAGUUUUUUUUGAAAACUGAAAAUACCAACUGAAUACAACCACCUAAAGCUACAGAUAUCAGCAAAACCUCUUUGUAAAGAUGAAUAUUCAGGUUUUAUUUAAAAAGGGGUAUGAAUCAGAAGUUUCCCAUCUCAACUGAUUUGUGCAAAUAUUUUUAUCUAUUGACUAUUUGUUCAUAAAAUGCUUUCAUGAGUAUUAGUUUGUCAUUCUUAUCAGGUUCCCUUUCCCAAAUUAAGCAGGAAAACACACAACUUAAACUUUUAGAGUUUCAAGUGAGAAUGAUAAAGAGAUAUUUUGGGAUAGGCAAGACUAUGACUUAAUUUCCUAUGU